Molecule: long non-coding RNA, 513 nt
Filed under: Homo sapiens (human)
Lineage: Eukaryota; Metazoa; Chordata; Mammalia; Primates; Hominidae
Description: TMEM105 long non-coding RNA
Source: RNAcentral
CUCCUGGGCGGGUUCUCUCUUGCUGCCGCCAGUACCCUGCCCCUCUCGUCCUCCUGGGUAGCCUGGGAGGAAUGGCAGAAGAAAGCAGUGAAGCCAGGUAGCAGUAGCCCGGCCACCCCACCAGGCUCUGCUGUAGGCUGGGCUCUCAAGGCAGCUGCUCCAGGAGGGGCCCCCUAGGAAGGGACUGCCACACUCCUGGGAGCGUUCCUGGCCCCCUCCAGUGCAAAUGACCCUGGGCCCCAAGGCUCCGAACACCCGCCCCUCUGCUCCAGGCUAGCUUGGCUGAGCCCGAUGCUUCUCAAGGUGAGGAGGGCGUCCUUGAAGCCUCCGGCCACCCCACACCAAGCCUGGCUCCGGCCCCCCACCCUGCUGCAGGGCCCGAGGACGUCUCCCCAGGGGUCCCCACCUCGGUCUCCUUGGGGGGACUGUGCUGAGCCCAGCUGCCUCUGUGAGAUGAAGAUAAGAAGGCGAAGACAUGAAGGGCCUGCCUGGGGGCAGUCUGGCUUUCUUGCA